CCUACGGGGGGCAGCAGUGGGGAAUAUUGCACAAUGGGCGCAAGCCUGAUGCAGCCAUGCCGCGUGUGUGAAGAAGGCCUUCGGGUUGUAAAGCACUUUCAGCGGGGAGGAAGGCGGUGGGGUUAAUAACCUCAUCGAUUGACGUUACCCGCAGAAGAAGCACCGGCUAACUCCGUGCCAGCAGCCGCGGUAAUACGGAGGGUGCAAGCGUUAAUCGGAAUUACUGGGCGUAAAGCGCACGCAGGCGGUCUGUCAAGUCGGAUGUGAAAUCCCCGGGCUCAACCUGGGAACUGCAUUCGAAACUGGCAGGGUAGAGUCUUGUAGAGGGGGGUAGAAUUCCAGGUGGAGCGGUGAAAUGCGUAGAGAUCUGGAGGAAUACCGGUGGCGAAGGCGGCCCCCCUGGACAAAGACUGACGCUCAGGUGCGAAAGCGUGGGGAGCAAACAGGAUUAGAUACCCGAGUAGUC
Molecule: ribosomal RNA, 466 nt
Filed under: uncultured Klebsiella sp.
Lineage: Bacteria; Pseudomonadati; Pseudomonadota; Gammaproteobacteria; Enterobacterales; Enterobacteriaceae
Description: bacterial SSU rRNA
Rfam family: Bacterial small subunit ribosomal RNA
Source: RNAcentral